GAUGAACGCUAGCGGCAGGCUUAACACAUGCAAGUCGAGGGGUAUUUAUCUUCGGAUAGGGAGACCGGCGCACGGGUGCGUAACGCGUAUGCAAUCUACCUUUUACAGAGGGAUAGCCCAGAGAAAUUUGGAUUAAUACCUCAUAGUAUAUAGACUCGGCAUCGAGAUUAUAUUAAAGUCACAACGGUAAAAGAUGAGCAUGCGUCCCAUUAGCUAGUUGGUAAGGUAACGGCUUACCAAGGCUACGAUGGGUAGGGGUCCUGAGAGGGAGAUCCCCCACACUGGUACUGAGACACGGACCAGACUCCUACGGGAGGCAGCAGUGAGGAAUAUUGGACAAUGGGCGAAAGCCUGAUCCAGCCAUGCCGCGUGCAGGAUGACGGUACUAUGGAUUGUAAACUGCUUUUAUACGAGAAGAAACACUGCUACGUGUAGCAGCUUGACGGUAUCGUAAGAAUAAGGAUCGGCUAACUCCGUG
This 478-nucleotide ribosomal RNA is filed under the name uncultured bacterium. RNAcentral's name for it is "partial 16S ribosomal RNA". It matches the Rfam family "Bacterial small subunit ribosomal RNA", at positions 28 to 507 of the family's 1533-position model. The record is from RNAcentral.